CAGUAAAAAAUGUGGUGUUAAUAUUUCAGUGUAAACUUAAUUUAAUCUAAAUAGAGUAUUUAUAACUAUAUGGAGUGUAAAUCGGCUCUGGUGUUGGAGUUAAAAGUCAGAGUAAAAUGCUACAUUCACGCAGUGAAUCUUUUGACUCUGUCAAGUGUCAAUAACGCGCCAAUAAAGAGUUUUGGCAACCGCGAAGAGGAGAAGGAGGAGGAAGAAAGAAGACGAAGCAGCAGUUUUCUGAAGUUCGUGAGACGGCCACUUCCAUUUUGGAUUCUGAACGGAGUUGUGCUACAGAAAAAACCAUGCUACUACGUGUUUUGUUUGGUGGGGAGCAGAAGUACGUGAAACUUUCUGACCUAACAUUUGAUGCAUUCGUGAGAGAAGUGUGCCUGAAAUUUAAAAUUCCAGAAGGCAGACAGCAGGAUCUGAAGGUGUAUGACCAGUCUGAUACAGAAGUUGAUGUAGAUGUUUUUGAAGAAAUAGUGCAUCAGUCACCUGGAACUUUUUGAGUUAUGUUGAGCAACAAAGAAGAUCCUGGUGCUGUUCUAUCAUCAUCGUCAUCUUCAGUGACAUCUGAUGACACUAUCAUUCUGAAUUUCACAACGUGUGACCCAUCAGAAGAAGAAGCCACUGCUGAAGGAAGUCAACCUAAAAGGCCAUGUCACAUAAAUUAUGAGGCACAAGCAUUGAUUGAAAAAAUCUUGACAACAAAGCCUGGUGGUGAGCGUAUCAUGCAAGAGUAUGCAAGAACUAAAAGCUUGACAGAUGCAACCAGAAGACAGAUGAUAAACAUCCUUACAGCUGCAAUGACAGAAGCACAUGGAUCAUCCCCUCCUAAAAGCGUCAGAGUGAUGUAUGCUCAGGGGAUCGUUGCCCUAUUUCCCUAUCUGGAAGACCCGCUUUCAAAACAUGGAUAUGAGCAUUACUAUGAUCCAGAGAGCGGUUCAGGAUACCUUGCAUGGCGUUUAAAGACCAUUCAAAGAAAAACUGCAGAGGAACGGGGUGCCUCAGGUAGCAAAUCUCCCAAAAGUGGUGGACCAGGCCAUGUUCACUCCAGGGUUUCCACUGCUGACAAAGUGCUGUCAGAUGUGGAAGUGGAAGCAGCUAUUGCUGUUUUGAAACACUGCUGAUGAUGAAACGGUCCGUGAGAAGAUGAAGGCCACCUUCCAUUACCGUCAUUCAAUGGUCAAUGAUGAAAAGAAAGCAGAGAAUGUCUUCUCUGUCUUUCCACGGUUUCUGGACACACCAGGACUGAUAGAACAAGAUUUCAGACUCCUGUUUGGUGAAGGCACUGCCAACAAAUUUUUUGAGAAGUGGCCCACCUGUCUCAAAUCCAAGGUCAUAAAGGAAAGCCAUGGCCUGGUACCCACCACUGAGCUCGUGGAUUUAUUGCGGAAUGCAGAGUUGGCUGCUGAAGCUGAGAAUGGUUGGGAUAGUGAUAUGUCUGAUAUUUUGCUUCUGCUGCAUCUGCUACCACCAUCUGCACAAGGACGAAAGAGGCCGGGUAAGAUGUCUGCAUCUCAAGCAGUGGAUCACCUCAUCAGAUUUCUAAAGGUUGGAACCAGUGUGCAGCAGCAUCUUGACAAAAUCAGCCAGCGUACCCAGCCCUACCUCCUGGCCCAUGGCUCCAUCCAAAGCAGUAUUCAUGCAUUCUUCAUUGUGAUUGACAACUAUGCUAUUCCAUGUAAGGCAACGUGUUCAGUU
Cyprinodon tularosa is the source of this 1704-nucleotide long non-coding RNA. RefSeq lists it as uncharacterized. The record is from RefSeq and is a predicted model, not a curated record. NCBI's taxonomy places the organism in Eukaryota, Metazoa, Chordata, Actinopteri, Cyprinodontiformes, Cyprinodontidae. The transcript has 11 exons.